This 852-nucleotide non-coding RNA is filed under the name Diprion wenshanicus. The record is from RNAcentral. Lineage: Eukaryota; Metazoa; Arthropoda; Insecta; Hymenoptera; Diprionidae.
UUAAAAUUUGAUUUUGGUUUAUUUAUUAAUUUUAUGAUUUUUUUGCAUGUAUAUUUUUAUUAAAAAGAAUAAUUUGCAGCAAUUAGUUUUAAUAAUUAAAGAAAUUUAGAAUUAUAAAUUAUAUAAUUUAAGUAUCGACAAAAAAAUUGUGCCAGCAGUAGCGGUUAAACGUUAUGAUACUAGUUAAUAUUUUUAAUUAAUAAAUUAUAUUAAUUUAAUAUAUAUAUUAAAAUGAAAAAUUUUGAAGUGAAAUUAAAUUUAUUUAUUUAUUUAUUUAUUUAUAUUUUAUUUAUAUUUAUAUUUUAUUCAUACCUUAUUUUAUUUAUAUUAUAUUUAUAUUAUAUUUAUAUUAUAUUUAUAUUAUAUUUAUAUAUUAUUUUAUGAAAUCUAAAUAAUAAACUAGGAUUAGAUACCCUAUUAUUUUAGAUGUUAAAAAUUUAUUUUAAUUAUUAAUAGUUAUGAUCUUGAAAAUUAAAAAAAUUGGCGGUGUUUAAAACUAAUUAGGGGAAUUUGUUUAUUAAACGAUGAUCCGCGAGAAAUCUUACUUUAAUUUAUUUAGCUUAUUUAUUUUUGUUAUCAGAAUAUUUUUUAAGAAUUAAAAAUUUUCAAAUAAUUUAAUAAAAUUUUAUUUCAGAUCAAGAUGUAGCUUAUAUUAAAGUUUAAAUUAAUUACAAUAAAAAUUAAAUUUUUGGAUAUGAAUUGAAAUAUUUACUUGAAAUUGAACUUAAUAGUAAAAUUUAAAAUUACAUAAAUUUGAAUUAAGAAUUAAAUGUGUACAAAUCGCCCGUCACUCUCAUUAAAAUUGAGAUAAGUCGUAACAUAGUAAAUGUAUUGGAAAAUGUAUUUAGAAUU